ACGCUCGACACCUAUGGGAGGCAGCAGUGGGGAAUAUUGCACAAUGGGGGAAACCCUGAUGCAGCAACGCUGCGUGAAGGAAGACGGUUUUCGGAUUGUAAACUUCUGUUCUUAGUGAAGAUAGUGACGGUAGCUAAGGAGCAAGCCACGGCUAACUACGUGCCAACAGCCGCGGUAAUCUGAGCGGGCUGGCAAGGC
Molecule: ribosomal RNA, 198 nt
Filed under: uncultured bacterium
Lineage: Bacteria
Description: partial 16S ribosomal RNA
Rfam family: Bacterial small subunit ribosomal RNA
Source: RNAcentral